UACGGAGGGUGCAAGCGUUGUCCGGAUUUAUUGGGUUUAAAGGGUGCGUAGGCGGCCCAUUAAGUCAGUGGUGAAAUCCAACAGCUCAACUGUUGAACUGCCAUUGAUACUGGUGGGCUUGAGUAAAGUCGAGGCAGGCGGAACUGGUGGUGUAGCGGUGAAAUGCAUAGAUACCACCAAGAACCCCGAUUGCGAAGGCAGCUUGCUGGGCUUUAACUGACGCUGAGGCACGAAAGCGUGGGGAGCGAACAGGAUUAGAUACCCCGGUAGUCC
RNAcentral lists this ribosomal RNA (273 nucleotides) under uncultured bacterium. RNAcentral's name for it is "partial 16S ribosomal RNA". It matches the Rfam family "Bacterial small subunit ribosomal RNA", at positions 524 to 796 of the family's 1533-position model. The record is from RNAcentral.